This 185-nucleotide unclassified non-coding RNA is filed under the name rhizosphere metagenome. RNAcentral's name for it is "partial ribosomal RNA internal transcribed spacer region". The record is from RNAcentral.
GAGAAAUUCGCCCUCACGGGUGACUCUCCAACCCUAUGUUAUUGUACCUUCGUUGCUUUGGCGAGCCGCCUCGUGCCACCGACUUUCGCCGGUGAGUGCUCGCCAGAGGACCUAAACUCUGUUUGUCUAUAAUGUCUGAGUACUAUAUAAUAGUUAAAACUUUCAACAACGGAUCUCUUGGUUCU